Molecule: ribosomal RNA, 198 nt
Filed under: uncultured bacterium
Lineage: Bacteria
Description: partial 16S ribosomal RNA
Source: RNAcentral
UAUUACCGCGGCUGCUGGCACGGAGUUAGCCGGUGCUUCUUCUGUAGGUAACGUCAAAUGCUGCAGGUGUUAACUACACUACCUUCCUCCCUACUGAAAGUGCUUUACAACCCGAAGGCCUUCUUCACACACGCGGCAUGGCUGCAUCAGGGUUUCCCCCAUUGUGCAAUAUUCCCCACUGCUGCCUCCCGUAGGAGU